UUCUUUUGAUUCUGGAGAAUAGAAGAUAUUGAAUAUGUUUAUACAUGUUAGUGAAAGCAAAUAAAUGAGUAAACUCUGAUAGUUUUCAGUUGGUAUCAGGAAAGAAAAAGUAAACCCCUUUCUUUUCUAAGACACUUAGUAAGAGCCAUGUAUUUACUGAACCAAAGAAAUAUUAUAACAGCAGUAAAGAAAACUAUACAAUUAACGUAAAUUAGAUAUGAGAUAUUCAGUUAGUUUUGUUUAAUUAAGUGCCAGCAGACGCGGUUAUACUUAAGAAACAAGUCUUCUAAUAAUAACAAGAAAUUAUAAGUGAGAAAUAAAACAAAAGUGUGAUUUAUAGAUACUUGACUAGGUUAAAUUUACAAGUAUAAGUCAUUCAAAAAAGAAGUACAAUCACAUUAAAAUCCGAAUUAUGAAAAACAAAUAAUUAAAUAGGAUUAGAUACCCUAGUAAACUGUAAUGUAAAAGAUAUGAAUAUAUCUACUUGAACAGUACACUUUAUGAGUAAAAAUCAAAGAAUUUGGCUGUUUACUUUCUAGUUGGAGGAAUACGUAAUUUAAUUCGAUAGUACACGCAAUACCUUACCUGUGUUAGAAUUUCAAGAACUGCAUGGUCGUCUUAAGCUAUAAUUUAUAAUUAAGGCAAAAGUCUUAUAAGAAGCAAGUCAGAUAGUAUGGUCUUUAUAGGCAGGGAAAUCACGUAUUACAAUUAUUGGAAAAGUUUAAAUUCAAUAUUGGAUAUAAGCUUAAAAAACUUAUGGAAAGAGAAUUCAAUAGUAAUUAGAUAAAGAAGAUUCUAAUGAAUUAGUUCAAGUACUAGUACAAAUUGCCCGUCGCCUUUUUCGAGAUAAGAAAGAGUAAGUCGUAACAUAGUGAGGGAAAGGGAACUUUUCCUUGAUCUAAA
Molecule: ribosomal RNA, 903 nt
Filed under: Millepora sp. EK-2011
Lineage: Eukaryota; Metazoa; Cnidaria; Hydrozoa; Anthoathecata; Milleporidae
Description: small subunit ribosomal RNA
Source: RNAcentral